Molecule: small RNA, 118 nt
Filed under: Anaerococcus obesiensis
Lineage: Bacteria; Bacillati; Bacillota; Tissierellia; Tissierellales; Peptoniphilaceae
Description: Streptococcus sRNA SpR18
Rfam family: Streptococcus sRNA SpR18
Source: RNAcentral
GAGAGAAUGAAAAAUGGCUACUGGUACUCAAAUGGUACUGGAAGUAAAAAAGAAUAAACUAAAUAAUUCUUCCAAGGACUUUACAUUUGGAUAAAAUAAUUAGACCGUAGUUUUAGGA